CAGCAGCCGCGGUAAUACCGGCGGCCCGAGUGGCGGUCACUAUUAUUGGGCUUAAAGCGUCCGUAGCCGGGUUGGGAAGUCCUCCGGGAAAUCUGGCCGCUUAACGGUCAGAAUGCCGGAGGAUACUCCCAGCCUAGGGAGCGGGAGAGGCCGAGGGGUUUCCCGGGGUAGGGGGGAAAUCCUAUAAUCCCGGGAGGACCACCGGUGGCGAAGGCGCUCGGCUGGAACGCGUCCGACGGUGAGGGACGAAGGCCAGGGGAGCAAACCGGAUUAGAUACCCGGGUAGUCCUGGCUGUAAACGAUGCGGACUUUGUGUCGGACAAGCUAUGAGCUUGUCCGGUGCCGGAGGGAAACCGUUAAGUCCGCCGCCUGGGGAGUACGGCCGCAAGGCUGAAACUUAAAGGAAUUGGCGGG
RNAcentral lists this ribosomal RNA (414 nucleotides) under uncultured microorganism. RNAcentral describes it as "bacterial SSU rRNA". It matches the Rfam family "Archaeal small subunit ribosomal RNA", at positions 459 to 872 of the family's 1478-position model. The record is from RNAcentral.